Cucumis sativus (cucumber) is the source of this 1827-nucleotide long non-coding RNA. RefSeq lists it as uncharacterized. Lineage: Eukaryota; Viridiplantae; Streptophyta; Magnoliopsida; Cucurbitales; Cucurbitaceae. The transcript is spliced from 3 exons. The record is from RefSeq and is a predicted model, not a curated record.
CGUCCUGAAAGAUCUCGAUCCAUUGUGUGUUUCUUCCGCAAUAAAAACAAACCGCGAGUGAGAGUUUUUGAUUUAACUGAUAAACAUCAUUUCCAUUCCAACCUCACUGCUCAUCCAUCGCUCCGAUUAUUGGAUCGAUCUUCUUUUUCUCUUUUUUUUUUUUUCUUCUUCUUCCUUUUUGUUUUUCUAAUUUCUUUCUUUUGAUUCAUCUGUUCAUAUCGAUUUCCCGUCGUCUUCUUCUUUCUGAAGAAUGGUUGCGACGGUCACCGUCGUCGCCGACUCGCGGCACUGUUUGAUUUGUCUUUCAGAAGCUUUUGAUUACGUGUUGUCGGCACUGUUACCGACGUCCUGCAUGGAGGAGAGAGAAUUCAGUUUCUUUUUUCCUUUUUUUUUUGGUUUAUUUAAUUGCUUAUUUAUUUCCUACUGAACCUAAAAACCCUAAUUAAUUUCCAUUAUCUUCACAAAAUGUAUGUUCCUUCAUCAAAUAUUGUGUUCAUGAUUUGAAUUUUGAGCGGCGUUGUGCUGUUUCAUACUCUGGAUCUGGUUCAUAUCGUCUUCUUCAUCAUUAUCGGAUGAUUCCGAUCUCUCUCUCUCCCGUCUCGCUCUGCGGAUUUCUAUGUGUAUACGCGGUUUUUUUUUUUUGUCUCCGUUAUACAUGUGAAAGAUUCUUUACUGAAAAUUAUUUGUUUAUCGUUCUUGAAUUUGGUUAGUUUUUCACUGUCCCUUGGAUAAUUUGACAGAAGAGAGUGAGCACCCAGAGGCAGUUGCUAUAAAGUGUAUAUCAAUACUUUUGCGUGCUCACUUCUCUCUCUGUCAGAUUCGUUAAACGGAUCCAGUUUCAUAAUUCUUCUCCAUCGAUUUUUUCGGUUUUAGUUUUGAUAUUCUUUUAUGGAUUAACGAAAUGGUUAUUGGACUCCGAAUUGUAUGAAUUGUAUUUCUGCAGUAUUGUUUCUUUAGAAGCGUUGCUUUUCAUGUUGCUCACUGGCCGGUGUUAUGGCCACGAUCGUGAGAGAAUACUGAACAACGGGACCUCUCUCAAGCCUACAUCGUAUAGGCCGGUCCUCUCCUAAUCGGCAGAUCAAGUUCAAAGCAGUGGAGGAAGAAAUUGACAAAGUAUGUAGUUCUGAGUAGGGAUCAAUACGCAGAGCCUAGAGAUGGCAUGGUCCGAAAUUUUGUUUCAACUUCAGAAGAUGGUUCUUUCCAACCUGAACCUGCCCAUUGAACGUGGAGAUCCUAAUCCAUUAUUUUGUGUUUAUUCAAAGACUGGCCUUGUGCACAUAUAAAGGUGAACUGUGAAUGAAUCUUUUGCCUUCCCCUUGGUGGGGCGUCCGUACAGAAACGACCGGCUCAAAAAUGAUGGAAUCAGAAACCUUGAGAUAAGAGCUUAACACAGUUGAUCUCCGUUGGUUGGAUCACCAAUUUCUGUGUUGUACAAUAGCGAAGUAAACAUUUAUUAUGGUUUAUAUAUAAACAUGUUUUUGAUUCCUUAAACAAUCAUAUCGGUCUUCUUCACUUUCAAUCGGACUCUUGGAUGGCAAGGCAGCACAUAUAAUAGAAGUUCGAUUGCCAAUUUCUCAGUGCAGCAACGGUCGAAUGUAUCAGGAAAAUUGCUGGUGAUUUUUUCGGGAAUAGCUCCGUUGCACUUUUUAUGAAAAGUAUGAAAUCAAAUAUUUAAUUAGUUUUUUUUUAUUGCUAUUUCUGCAUACCAAUCAUCAAGGUGACUUUUUAUUUACUUAUUUUGGUGGUUCAAGAAUUGUAUUUCUAUGGAGUACUCCACAACAAUACAAAAAUUGAUUAAAUCGAUGGAGGAUUUUAGAUUGGUAGAAA